This 465-nucleotide ribosomal RNA is filed under the name Vreelandella stevensii. RNAcentral describes it as "partial 16S ribosomal RNA". It matches the Rfam family "Bacterial small subunit ribosomal RNA", at positions 338 to 795 of the family's 1533-position model. Lineage: Bacteria; Pseudomonadati; Pseudomonadota; Gammaproteobacteria; Oceanospirillales; Halomonadaceae. The record is from RNAcentral.
CCUACGGGAGGCAGCAGUGGGGAAUAUUGGACAAUGGGGGCAACCCUGAUCCAGCCAUGCCGCGUGUGUGAAGAAGGCCCUCGGGUUGUAAAGCACUUUCAGUGAGGAAGAACGCCUGGUGGUUAAUACCCAUCAGGAAAGACAUCACUCACAGAAGAAGCACCGGCUAACUCCGUGCCAGCAGCCGCGGUAAUACGGGGGGUGCGAGCGUUAAUCGGAAUUACUGGGCGUAAAGCGCGCGUAGGUGGCUUGAUAAGCCGGUUGUGAAAGCCCCGGGCUCAACCUGGGAACGGCAUCCGGAACUGUCAAGCUAGAGUGCGGGAGAGGAAGGUAGAAUUCCCGGUGUAGCGGUGAAAUGCGUAGAGAUCGGGAGGAAUACCAGUGGCGAAGGCGGCCUUCUGGACUGACACUGACACUGAGGUGCGAAAGCGUGGGUAGCAAACAGGAUUAGAUACCCGUGUAGUC